UCUCCUACGGGGGGCAGCAGUGGGGAAUAUUGGACAAUGGGGGAAACCCUGAUCCAGCGACGCCGCGUGAGUGAAGAAGUAUUUCGGUACGUAAAGCUCUAUCAGCAGGAAAGAAAAUGACGGUACCUGACUAAGAAGCCCCGGCUAACUACGUGCCAGCAGCCGCGGUAAUACGUAGGGGGCAAGCGUUAUCCGGAUUUACUGGGUGUAAAGGGAGCGUAGACGGCGUGCCAAGUCUGAUGUGAAAGGCCGGGGCUCAACCCCGGGACUGCAUUGGAAACUGGCAUGCUGGAGUGCCGGAGGGG
This 305-nucleotide ribosomal RNA is filed under the name uncultured bacterium. RNAcentral's name for it is "bacterial SSU rRNA". It matches the Rfam family "Bacterial small subunit ribosomal RNA", at positions 335 to 657 of the family's 1533-position model. The record is from RNAcentral.